ACCUAGAGCACAGACAAGGCACCAUCCACCUACAGUUUGAUGUACAGAUGUGUCCGACAUCGAUAUGCUGUAGUGCAACUGUGUGUGUGGAAUACUACUUCCAGUACAGCAUGACAAGUGGUGAGUGUCCUCAUUUUCCCAGGGUACCAAACCAGCGGAUUGAGAAAAGAGGAAACAAGAAAGAGCAAGGUGUGAAAUGUCACUGCAUGUCAGCCUCAUUUGCCAAUAAAGUUUUCAGAAAGAAAAACUGGAAGAGGAUUCCAUCUCACUGAGGAGAAAUGACCAUCUAUCCCAAAGAAAAUGCUUAGUUGUCAGCUUUAUGCUGCUCAAAAUAAAUCAUGGCACUCUCACA
This is a long non-coding RNA of Neopsephotus bourkii (Bourke's parrot), 352 nucleotides long. RefSeq lists it as uncharacterized. Lineage: Eukaryota; Metazoa; Chordata; Aves; Psittaciformes; Psittacidae. The record is from RefSeq and is a predicted model, not a curated record. The transcript has 2 exons.